UUUUUAUGAGAGUUUGAUCCUGGCUCAGGACGAACGCUGGCGGCGUGCCUAAUACAUGCAAGUAGAACGCUGAAGUCUGGUGCUUGCACUAGACGGAUGAGUUGCGAACGGGUGAGUAACGCGUAGGUAACCUGCCUCAUAGCGGGGGAUAACUAUUGGAAACGAUAGCUAAUACCGCAUAACAGUAUUUACCGCAUGGUAGAUAUUUGAAAGGAGCAAUUGCUUCACUAUGAGAUGGACCUGCGUUGUAUUAGCUAGUUGGUGAGGUAACGGCUCACCAAGGCUUCGAUACAUAGCCGACCUGAGAGGGUGAUCGGCCACACUGGGACUGAGACACGGCCCAGACUCCUACGGGAGGCAGCAGUAGGGAAUCUUCGGCAAUGGGGGCAACCCUGACCGAGCAACGCCGCGUGAGUGAAGAAGGUUUUCGGAUCGUAAAGC
RNAcentral lists this ribosomal RNA (441 nucleotides) under Streptococcus suis. RNAcentral's name for it is "bacterial SSU rRNA". It matches the Rfam family "Bacterial small subunit ribosomal RNA", at positions 1 to 431 of the family's 1533-position model. The record is from RNAcentral. Lineage: Bacteria; Bacillati; Bacillota; Bacilli; Lactobacillales; Streptococcaceae.